This 467-nucleotide ribosomal RNA is filed under the name uncultured organism. RNAcentral's name for it is "partial 16S ribosomal RNA". It matches the Rfam family "Bacterial small subunit ribosomal RNA", at positions 338 to 797 of the family's 1533-position model. The record is from RNAcentral.
ACUGCGGGAGGCAGCAGUGGGGAAUAUUGCACAAUGGGCGCAAGCCUGAUGCAGCCAUGCCGCGUGUAUGAAGAAGGCCUUCGGGUUGUAAAGUACUUUCAGCGGGGAGGAAGGCGAUAAGGUUAAUAACCUUGUUGAUUGACGUUACCCGCAGAAGAAGCACCGGCUAACUCCGUGCCAGCAGCCGCGGUAAUACGGAGGGUGCAAGCGUUAAUCGGAAUUACUGGGCGUAAAGCGCACGCAGGCGGUCUGUCAAGUCGGAUGUGAAAUCCCCGGGCUCAACCUGGGAACUGCAUUCGAAACUGGCAGGCUAGAGUCUUGUAGAGGGGGGUAGAAUUCCAGGUGUAGCGGUGAAAUGCGUAGAGAUCUGGAGGAAUACCGGUGGCGAAGGCUGCCCCCUGGACAAAGACUGACGCUCAGGUGCGAAAGCGUGGGGAGCAAACAGGAUUAGAUACCCCAGUAGUCCC